This 1984-nucleotide ribosomal RNA is filed under the name human gut metagenome. Its description in RNAcentral is "bacterial LSU rRNA". It matches the Rfam family "Bacterial large subunit ribosomal RNA", at positions 1 to 1999 of the family's 2925-position model. The record is from RNAcentral.
GUAAAUAAUAAAGGGCGUAUGGUGGAUGCCUAGGCUCUCAGAGGCGAUGAAGGACGUGAUAAGCUGCGAAAAGCUCCGUUUAGGUGCAAAUAACCUUUGAUGCGGAGAUCUCCGAAUGGGAUAACCCAAUAUGUUGAAGACAUAUUAUACCGUAAGGUAGGCAAACGCAGGGAACUGAAACAUCUAAGUACCUGCAGGAGAAGAAAACAAACGUGAUUCCCCCAGUAGCGGCGAGCGACCGGGGAUAAGCCCAAACCGUUAUUGUUUCGGCAGUAGCGGGGUAGUAGGACUGCGACAUUGAUGAAAUAAAUGAAAUGGAACACCUUGGAAAAUGUGAUCACAGAGGGUGAUAAUCCCGUACAUGUAAGUUUAUGAAUCAUAGCAGACUCCUGAGUAAGUCGGGACACGUGUAAUCCUGACCGAAUCCGCCGGGACCAUCCGGCAAGGCUAAAUACUCCUGAGAGACCGAUAGUGAACCAGUACCGUGAGGGAAAGGUGAAAAGCACUUCGAACAGAAGAGUGAAAUAGUCCCUGAACCCAUACGCCUACAAGCAGUCGGAGCCGCUUCGUGCGGUGACGGCGUGCCUUUUGCAUAAUGAGCCUACGAGUUACUCAUCACCAGCGAGGUUAAGUACUUCAGGUACGUAAGCCGAAGCGAAAGCGAGUCUGAAUAGGGCGUCAAGUUGGUGGUGGUAGACGCGAAACCUUAGUGAUCUACCCAUGGGCAGGGUGAAGGUUUGGUAACACAAACUGGAGGCCCGAACCGGUAAACGUUGAAAAGUUUUCGGAUGACCUGUGGGUAGGGGUGAAAGGCCAAUCAAACUGGGAAAUAGCUCGUACUCUCCGAAAUGCAUUUAGGUGCAGCCUCUGUUGUUUUGUUCUAGAGGUAGAGCUACUGAUUGGAUGCGAGGGCUUCACCGCCUAUCAAAUCCGGCCAAACUCCGAAUGCUAGAACAUAAAGACAGGGAGUGAGCCAGCGGGUGCUAAGGUCCGUUGACGAAAGAGGGAGAACUCAGACCAUCAGCUAAGGUCCCCAAUUAUAUGCUAAGUUGGAAUAAAAACGGGGUGGGACUGCUUAGACAGCUAGGAUGUUGGCUUGGAAGCAGCCAUUCAUUUAAAGAGUGCGUAACAGCUCACUAGUCGAGCGGUCCUGCAUGGAUAAUACGCGGGCAUAAGCAUAUAACCGAAGCUAUGGGAUUGUAGAUGAUACAAUCGGUAGGAGAGCAUUCCAUUCAGCAUAGAAGCAGUAUCGUGAGGUAUUGUGGAGCGGAUGGAAAAGCAAAUGUAGGCAUAAGUAACGAUAAUGCGGGUGAGAACCCCGCACGCCGAAAGAUCAAGGAUUCCCCGGCAAUGUCAAUCAUCCGGGGGUAAGUCGGAUCCUAAGGGUAAGCCGAGUGGCGAUCCCGAUGGUAAACAGGUUAAUAUUCCUGUACUGAUCAUAACUGCGAUGCAGCGACGCAGAGGUGACACUGCUGCGUACUGACGGAAUAGUACGUUGAAACCCGUAUUCUUUGAUACCGGUAGUGAAGCACGCCGGUAGAGAUGAAAGGUGAUAGUACCGCAAUGCUUCGGUUGCGCGGAUAAUGCAGGUAAGCUGACUGCCAAGAAAACCUGCUAAGCUUCAGGUAAUGAUCAUCCGUACUGUAAACGGACACACGUGAUCAGGUAGAAAAUACUAAGGCGCUCGAGAGAUUCAUGGUUAAGGAACUAGGCAAAAUGGUCCUGUAACUUCGGGAUAAAGGACGCUCUUGUGAAAGAGCCGCAGAUAAUAGGCCCAGGCGACUGUUUACCAAAAACACAUGGCUAUGCUAAUUCGCAAGAAGAUGUAUAUGGCCUGACACCUGCCCGGUGCCGGAAGGUUAAGAGGAGAGCUCAGAGGUAACUCGAAGGUUUGAAUUGAAGCCCCGGUAAACGGCGGCCGUAACUAUAACGGUCCUAAGGUAGCGAAAUUCCUUGUCGGGUAAGUUCCGACCUGCACGAAUGG